UCUAGGUAGAAGUGGUGGCUGUCAUUGUCGAAAGCCUUUUAGUAAUUGUGGGAACUAAAGUGAAGUGGACAUUUCAGAGCAGUUUGUUCAGCGCCAUGUGGGAGUUCCUGCCCUUCUUUUGUCCAGGGGCAUUGAGGGUGGGAGUCAGGCCACGUGUGCAGGCUGGGGGAGCUGUCAGGCCAGGGCAGGGCAGAGGCAGCCCUGGGAUGGAAAGAAGUAGGGCAGCUGGGGUCCAGUUACUGCCCAUCUGCCUGGGGCUGGUGGAGCUUGUACCAGACCAGCAAGAGAGACGGCAAGAUCAACAUCCCAGUAUCCCCAGGGCCACCACUCUGUUCCCUCUGUCCCCCAGGCUCCUGUUCUGUCUGAUUUUAUGGACGAUUCCAGGGUAAAGGGGGCAUGGCUGGGUGGGAGGGCAGAGACAGAAGAGAGAAAGAAGAGUGCGCACUGCACACAGGAGGCCUGGCUUCUGUUGCAGAGCUGCAGGUAAAACACAGGAUGCCCAGUUAAAUCGGAAUGUCAGAUAAACGACAAAAACGUUUUGAGUUGGCAUUUGUCCCAAAUACUGCCUGGAUUCUUAUUUGCUAAGCCUGGCAACCUGCUGAUGUCAUCCUAAGCUUCCUGCACCUUCUAUCCAGAUGACCACGCCGCUUCUCAUAGCUCCCAGCUUGUGACUCCCCCACCCAUCAAGAGUUUGGGGGACCCGCAGUCAGCUUGGCUCGGCAGAUGCGUUCUCGAGGCGCCUAUAUCAAACCAGAGACAUCUCCGCCGUCGCAGCCCGACCCUGGCGGGGAUCCCUAAGCGGCGACCUCAGCAUGCUUUCCCAGCAUGGGACUGUGCAACUCCCGCAGGCUCGGCUUGGGAGAGCGGUUGAAAUCAGCGCUUCGUGAAUUCUAAUUGCCUAUGAAGAAACUGAGUCACAUGUUGGUAUGUCAUCUUCAGAGGCCACAAAUUUUGGCAAAGAAGAAAGGAAAGGAGGAGGAGGAAAAAGAACUGGAUUUUUCUCUAACAAUUUAAUUUUUGCUUUUCAAAAACUCACUUCCCUGCGAGUCCAGGGCUCCUCUCCCACAGCGCACACUGGAGUCCCUGAGACGCCUGCUGGAAAUCCGGACCCCUGUUCACGAGAGCCGAGAAGCGGAAGCAGCAAGCACCCGUCGGCAGAUGAAUGGCCAAACCACACGUGGUCUCUACAUGCCGUGGAAUAGUAUCGAGCCUUGAAAGGGAAAGGGUUUCUGAUGCCUGCUACAACAUGGAGGAAGCUUGAGGACACUAUGCUCAGUGAAAUAAGUCAGUCACAAAAAGAUAAACACUGUGUGAUUCCACUUACAUGACGUACUUAGAGGAGCAAAGUUCAUGGAGUCAGAAAGUAGA
Long non-coding RNA from Equus quagga, 1368 nucleotides. RefSeq lists it as uncharacterized. The record is from RefSeq and is a predicted model, not a curated record. Lineage: Eukaryota; Metazoa; Chordata; Mammalia; Perissodactyla; Equidae. The transcript has 3 exons.